AAAAAUUAGCAUAUUGGCACGGAAAAGUGUCCAAAACGGAAAAAAAUUAGCAUAUUAGCACGGAAAAGUGCCCAAAACGGAAAAAAUUAGCAUAUUAGCACGGAAAAGUGCCCAAAAGGGAAAAAAAUUAGCAUAUUAGCACGGAAAAGUGCCCAAAACGGAAAAAAAUUAGCAUAUUGGCACGGAAAAGUGUCCAAAACGGAAAAGAUUAGCAUAUUAGCACGGAAAAGUGCCCAAAACGGAAAAAAAUUAGCAUAUUGGCACGGAAAAGUGUCCAAAACGGAAAAAAAUUAGCAUAUUAGCACGGAAAAGUGCCCAAAACGGAAAAAAAUUAGCAUAUUAGCACGGAAAAGUGCCCAAAACGGAAAAAAAUUAGCAUAUUAGCACGGAAAAGUGCCCAAAACGGAAAAAAAUUAGCAUAUUGGCAUAGAAAAGUGCCCAAAACGGAAAAAAUUAGCAUAUUAGCACGGAAAAGUGUCCAAAACGGAAAAGAUUAGCAUAUUAGCACGGAAAAGUGCCCAAAACGGAAAAAAAUUAGCAUAUUAGCACGGAAAAGUGCCCAAAACGGAAAAAAAUUAGCAUAUUGGCACGGAAAAGUGCCCAAAACGGAAAAAAAUUAGCAUAUUGGCACGGAAAAGUGUCCAAAACGGAAAAGAUUAGCAUAUUAGCACGGAAAAGUGCCCAAAACGGAAAAAAUUAGCAUAUUGGCACGGAAAAGUGCCCAAAACGGAAAAAUAUUAGCAUAUUGGCACGGAAAAGUGUCCAAAACGGAAAAAAAUUAGCAUAUUAGCACGGAAAAGUGCCCAAAACGGAAAAAAAUUAGCAUAUUAGCACGGAAAAGUGCCCAAAACGGAA
Molecule: long non-coding RNA, 855 nt
Filed under: Paramuricea clavata
Lineage: Eukaryota; Metazoa; Cnidaria; Anthozoa; Malacalcyonacea; Plexauridae
Source: RNAcentral